Molecule: long non-coding RNA, 1227 nt
Organism: Triticum aestivum (bread wheat)
Lineage: Eukaryota; Viridiplantae; Streptophyta; Magnoliopsida; Poales; Poaceae
Exons: 2
Source: RefSeq, a predicted model, not a curated record
UUUCUUUAAUCUACCUAGCUAAUCUAAUCCCUAUUCGGUGAGUGCUCUGUGUCCAGCCCGCUCGGGUGUGCAAGUAAAACUUAUUCCUUUGUAAACAGCGAUUCCACGAGUCGUCUCGCGCGGGCGGUCCAUGUCGUCUGACACCAUAAGCAACGCUGUCUUCUUGUCUCUUCCCUACGCCUUCUUCCCACACUCCUGAUUCCCUUUCCUCUUCCCUUCUCUCUGUCCAGCACUCCAGUCCCUCAACGGCCACCGCUACUUCAAGGAAUCCCCCGCAGAUCUGGAUCGAGGCCACCACCGAGUCUCCCUCGAGCGCCUCCUUCUUCCUCCCCCUUCUCAUUUUUCGUCUCUUCAUCCUUUCCAUGCCUCUGAGUUCCUUUUUUUCCCUUGCCCAUGACGAGCAGGGAAGCCUCGCCACUGCCGCCGCCACCACCACCACGGACGUCGUCACACCAUCGCCGCCUCCGAGUUCGCCGGCCACCGGCGCCCGUCCUCCUAUAUGCAGCCGAGCCAAUUGAGGAGCUCAGAACUACCGCCGUCAUGCCCACGUCAAGUUGCUGCGCAUCUCCACCUCCCAGCCUUGCUGAGGCAUGCCAAGAGGCGCUGCCUCGUCUGGACUCCUCUGCUACCUCCCAUUCGUGCCUCUGCUUCAGUCGCCAGCGAGCCGCUGCCUCGUCCGGCCGGCCUCCUCUGGUCCCAGAUUUGGUUUAGGCCACAACGGUGGUUGUUGCUGUCGAUUGUGCUUGCCUGAUUCGGAGUUUCCUUCACUCCAUCUUCCCUCUUGCCGAAUUAAUUGCUUCAUUAUGUUCCCCUCAUACGCUGCUUGAUUUCUGAUGCGGCAAAGUCGCGUGCGUAUAUAAAUUGAUUGAAUGGGAUGCAGAGGAGCGAGGUGGGACUAAAUCUCAACACGGGAGAUUGAGAAGCUUACGGCGGAGGCCGAGGAGGACUCACGGCGGCGCGCAGGGUCACAGCGGCGCCGCGGGUGGAAAGCGAGCGUCUGGAUAAGAUGAAAUAAAGGAUCGCGGGUUGAAUUCUUACAAAUAUAGGGGGGUCUUCGUAAAAACGAAACGUUUUCCCAGGUUGCCACUAAAACAGGGACUGCGGGUUAAUUUCUUGUAAACCAAGGGACUUUUCUGCAAAAUUGCUAGCGACGACGGACGACAGAAACCCAAUUCUCUUUACUAGCAAAAAAAAAGAGCCCGUGCAUUGCAACGGGAGAGAAAACAA